RNAcentral lists this ribosomal RNA (310 nucleotides) under Serratia marcescens. Its description in RNAcentral is "bacterial SSU rRNA". It matches the Rfam family "Bacterial small subunit ribosomal RNA", at positions 30 to 334 of the family's 1533-position model. Lineage: Bacteria; Pseudomonadati; Pseudomonadota; Gammaproteobacteria; Enterobacterales; Yersiniaceae. The record is from RNAcentral.
AUUGAACGCUGGCGGCAGGCUUAACACAUGCAAGUCGAGCGGUAGCACAGGGGAGCUUGCUCCCUGGGUGACGAGCGGCGGACGGGUGAGUAAUGUCUGGGAAACUGCCUGAUGGAGGGGGAUAACUACUGGAAACGGUAGCUAAUACCGCAUAACGUCGCAAGACCAAAGAGGGGGACCUUCGGGCCUCUUGCCAUCAGAUGUGCCCAGAUGGGAUUAGCUAGUAGGUGGGGUAAUGGCUCACCUAGGCGACGAUCCCUAGCUGGUCUGAGAGGAUGACCAGCCACACUGGAACUGAGACACGGUCCAG